UCCCUACGGGGGGCAGCAGUGGGGAAUAUUGCACAAUGGGGGAAACCCUGAUGCAGCAACGCCGCGUGAAGGAAGACGGUUUUCGGAUUGUAAACUUCUUUUCUUAGUGAAGAAGCAAGUGACGGUAGCUAAGGAAUAAGCAUCGGCUAACUACGUGCCAGCAGCCGCGGUAAUACGUAGGAUGCGAGCGUUAUCCGGAAUUACUGGGUGUAAAGGGAGCGCAGGCGGGACUGCAAGUUGGAUGUGAAAUACCGCAGCUUAACUGCGGAGCUGCCUCCAAAACUGUUGUCUUUGAGGGGCGUAAG
Molecule: ribosomal RNA, 305 nt
Filed under: uncultured bacterium
Lineage: Bacteria
Description: bacterial SSU rRNA
Rfam family: Bacterial small subunit ribosomal RNA
Source: RNAcentral